Molecule: transfer RNA, 77 nt
Filed under: Micromonospora eburnea
Lineage: Bacteria; Bacillati; Actinomycetota; Actinomycetes; Micromonosporales; Micromonosporaceae
Also listed under: 1 other name
Description: tRNA_Met_CAT
Rfam family: tRNA
About the family: Transfer RNA (tRNA) molecules are approximately 80 nucleotides in length. Their secondary structure includes four short double-helical elements and three loops (D, anti-codon, and T loops).
Source: RNAcentral
GGGGCGGUAGCUCAGCGGGUUAGAGCAGUCGACUCAUAAUCGAUCGGUCACGGGUUCGAGUCCCGUCCGCCCCACCG